Molecule: ribosomal RNA, 322 nt
Filed under: uncultured eukaryote
Lineage: Eukaryota
Description: partial 18S ribosomal RNA
Rfam family: Eukaryotic small subunit ribosomal RNA
Source: RNAcentral
CCCUUAGACGUUCUGGGCCGCACGCGCGCUACACUGACGAAGGCAACGAGCUACUCUUCACCGAAAGGUGUGGGUAAUCUUUUGAAACUUCGUCGUGCUGGGGAUAGAUCCUUGCAAUUUUUGAUCUUAAACGAGGAAUUCCUAGUAAGCGCAAGUCAUCAACUUGCGUUGAUUACGUCCCUGCCCUUUGUACACACCGCCCGUCGCUCCUACCGAUUGAAUGCUCAGGUGAGCCAUUCGGACUUUCAUCAUGCUGGUUUCCAGUUUUGAUGAAGGAAAGUCUUGCGAACCUUAUCAUUUAGAGGAAGGAGAAGUCGUAACA